GUCAAAAAUUGACAUUUACAGCAAAGAGUAGAAUUAACAACAAUCAAUCUGUCUUUUAAGAAACAGAAGUUAACAAAGAGAAAAUUUUUCUCCUUUUGCUAUAGAAAAGCAUGUCUUCUUAAUUAGCUUCAGCUUCAUAGAGACAUGAACACACUAGGGAGAGUGAAGUCUUCCACUUAUGUUUGUUUUACAUAGAUAUUAACUGGAUGAAAUUCUUUCUCAAAUAUUUCAAAUAUGUAAUUUUGAUUCUAAUUCAUAAUUGAGAAUGUAGAAUUUUGAACACUAGUCUGUUUGUUUAUUAUUUCUAAUUCUUAGAUAAAUCUGUGUAAGGAAAUGUUAUUUAAAAGAAAAGAACUGUACUAAAAUAAUAUGUUGGCUUUAGAAUUACUUUAAAGUUUUAAAAAAAUAUUGUCUUUAUUAAAUAUGCCUCUUUUGUUUUCAUUGAUGCAAUAAGAAUGUCUUAAUUGUUAUUGACUACAUAUAUAAAGAAUAUUCAUUUAAUAUGAACUGUAUGUUGUAUUACAAUGAAGAACUCUUUGCAAAUAUCUGUACGUAUUUCAUAGAAAAUAAAUUAAAUUAAGUUUAGUUCCAAUAAUUAUUGAUAAUGUUCAAGUUGGCACUUGGAAUUUGUUUACUGCAGAACUUUUAUGAUUGGGGAAUAGCUUUCGAAGUUAUUAUAGUAAGUGAGAUCUGAUUGGUCAAAAGUCAAUAGUGUGUAUGUAGUUGUGGGUGCCUUAGCUUGACAUCUGUUAAAUGUGCUUGCUUGUAGAAUCAGGAAUAAUGUUUAAUUAAAUAACAUGCCACAUCAAAUAUUUUCUGUUAAAUAUGAUUUUCAAUGAUUUGCUACUUUUAAAGUGAUAAGAAAAAAAACCUAGACAUAAAUUUUUAAAAACGGAAACCUACAGAUGCAGAUCUAAGGUAGGUGUUGCUCACAGAUUAUUAAUAUAAUGUGGAAAAAAUCUUUCACAGGAAAUAUAACAGUGACCUCAUUAACAAGGAAAACAAAACGAAGAACUAUAUUCUGCAUGCCUGCCUCACAGUCAGAUAGCUGACAUAAAACAGGAGAAGGGCUGACUGCAGUCUCUGGCUCCCCUGAAGGCUUCCUGACACCUAAUCCAGAUUUGCCUGUGCAUGCAAAAAACAAACCUCCCUGGAAGGAAAAUUGUGGAGUUAAUUAACAAUUUAAACUGGACAGUUUUAAUUUCUGAAACAAGACUAUUGUAUUACCUCAAAUGACAUUAUCUAUCUGUGAACAGAAAAAAGAAAUUUAUGGGAGCAGGCCCAAUCCUCAUACAAGGCAGAAGACUAAUAUUACGGUGAAUGAAUACUAGAAAGCCACGGGAUCAGGUUCCACCUGGGGCUAUGCUAUUCUGCAGGCAUGCUUAGUCAACAGGAUCUGUUCAUUAAAACCAAGUGUAUUACAUUUCAGCUCUAUAUCUGUUGCAAGCAACACACUCGCAAAGUUUAUGAACAAAUUGAUUUUCUUUCAAAUAGCAUCAUUUUCAUGAGGUAUUUUACAUUUGAUCUCAUUACUCAUUGUGCAGUUUGAUUAGUUAGGUUCAUUAUAGCCCUGCAGAUAGAAGCAAGCUCAGAGACAGGCUCAUAAGAAAUAAAAAAGAAUCCUUAAAACAUAUGCAAACAUAUUUUCUGCUCUUUUUCCAUCUUAAGUUCUACUUAGAAAAUCAGAACUUUGACAGGAGGAUAGUGAUUUUACCAAAACUUUGGGAUUCUAAUUAGCAAAAAAUAAGGUAGCUAUUGCUAUUGUUUGGAUAUUGAAUAUUCUAUGCUAAGUCAGUACCUAGGUUGGUGCUAUUAAAAGUACUGUGGAACUUUAGGGCACUAUAUGGUUCCUAAGUCACUAUGAGACCAGGUCCUUGCAGGAGUUCUGUAACGUCCGGAUUCUUCUUGGUCCUAUGGCUUUACCCAUAGAUUAUGAAGAUAGUGGUUUCCUCUAUUGUUUGUCCAUAUUAGUGUAUUGUUUUCACUAAGCCAACAACAACAGCACCAGCAACAAUAAUCAACCAACCAAACCAAAACAACAACAACAAUAACAACCAUGGAUCAACAUUAU
RNAcentral lists this long non-coding RNA (2071 nucleotides) under Mus musculus (house mouse). RNAcentral describes it as "long non-coding RNA chr6:61993053-61995124". The record is from RNAcentral. Lineage: Eukaryota; Metazoa; Chordata; Mammalia; Rodentia; Muridae.